AACAGAGAAGAGAAGAAAGAAAAGAAAGAAAAGAAAGAAAAGAAAGAAGAAAGAAAAGAAGAAUGGAAAGAAGAAAGGAAAGAGAGGGAGAGAAAGUGCAGUAGCUUCUCUUUGUUGCUGUCACUAUGCAUGCAUGCACUUCGGUGCUGUUCGCAACAAGAAGAUGUUGCCAAGGUGCUCCUCCAGCUGAGAAGUAAAGUUCAGAACCAUGUAGCUGCAAGUAGAGCUGCAUGCACAACCCAAGAACACAAGAAAGGUGUUGAAGUUGAAGCAGAGAUGGUCGGGUGAUUGGUUUGGAUAUGGAGAUACAUGUAUGAAGUGCUUGUAGAAAAGGCUUUUGUAGUACAUUAAGUAUUCUAAUGCAAAUAAGGGUAAGAUGUAUAAAUAUUUAUAAUAACCUGUGAAAUUAUUUAAUGGACCUAUAAUAUUGUAUAAGUACCAUUGUAGUUGAUCAUCACGUGUAUCUUUUAAUUUAAUGAUUUUUUUUUAUGUA
Macadamia integrifolia is the source of this 493-nucleotide long non-coding RNA. RefSeq lists it as uncharacterized. Lineage: Eukaryota; Viridiplantae; Streptophyta; Magnoliopsida; Proteales; Proteaceae. The record is from RefSeq and is a predicted model, not a curated record. The transcript has 2 exons.